RNAcentral lists this ribosomal RNA (466 nucleotides) under uncultured bacterium. Its description in RNAcentral is "partial 16S ribosomal RNA". It matches the Rfam family "Bacterial small subunit ribosomal RNA", at positions 28 to 506 of the family's 1533-position model. The record is from RNAcentral.
GAUGAACGCUGACAGAAUGCUUAACACAUGCAAGUCAACUUGAAUUUGGGUUUUUAACUUAGGUUUGGGUGGCGGACGGGUGAGUAACGCGUAAAGAACUUGCCUCACAGCUAGGGACAACAUUUGGAAACGAAUGCUAAUACCUAAUAUUAUGAUAAUAGGGCAUCCUAUAAUUAUGAAAGCUAUAAGCGCUGUGAGAGAGCUUUGCGUCCCAUUAGCUAGUUGGAGAGGUAACGGCUCACCAAGGCGAUGAUGGGUAGCCGGCCUGAGAGGGUGAUCGGCCACAAGGGGACUGAGACACGGCCCUUACUCCUACGGGAGGCAGCAGUGGGGAAUAUUGGACAAUGGACCGAGAGUCUGAUCCAGCAAUUCUGUGUGCACGAUGAAGUUUUUCGGAAUGUAAAGUGCUUUCAGUUGGGAAGAAACAAAUGACGGCACCAACAGAAGAAGUGACGGCUAAAUACGU